GAUGAACGCUGACAGAAUGCUUAACACAUGCAAGUCAACUUGAAUUUGGGUUUUUAACUUAGGUUUGGGUGGCGGACGGGUGAGUAACGCGUAAAGAACUUGCCUCACAGCUAGGGACAACAUUUGGAAACGAAUGCUAAUACCUAAUAUUAUGAUAAUAGGGCAUCCUAUAAUUAUGAAAGCUAUAAGCGCUGUGAGAGAGCUUUGCGUCCCAUUAGCUAGUUGGAGAGGUAACGGCUCACAAGGCGAUGAUGGGUAGCCGGCCUGAGAGGGUGAUCGGCCACAAGGGGACUGAGACACGGCCCUUACUCCUACGGGAGGCAGCAGUGGGGAAUAUUGGACAAUGGACCGAGAGUCUGAUCCAGCAAUUCUGUGUGCACGAUGAAGUUUUUCGGAAUGUAAAGUGCUUUCAGUUGGGAAGAAACAAAUGACGGUACCAACAGAAGAAGUGACGGCUAAAUACGUG
RNAcentral lists this ribosomal RNA (466 nucleotides) under uncultured bacterium. RNAcentral describes it as "partial 16S ribosomal RNA". It matches the Rfam family "Bacterial small subunit ribosomal RNA", at positions 28 to 507 of the family's 1533-position model. The record is from RNAcentral.